Molecule: ribosomal RNA, 119 nt
Organism: Eutrema salsugineum
Lineage: Eukaryota; Viridiplantae; Streptophyta; Magnoliopsida; Brassicales; Brassicaceae
Source: Rfam
AGGUGCGAUUAUGCCAGCACUAGUGCACUGAAUCCCAUCAGAACUCCGCAGUUAAGCGUGCUUGGGCGAGUGUAGUACUAGGAUGAGUGAUCUCCCGGGAAGUCCUCGUGUUGCACCCU